ACUUAAAUUGAAGAGUUUGAUCAUGGCUCAGAUUGAACGCUGGCGGCAGGCCUAACACAUGCAAGUCGAGCGGUAGCACAGAGAGCUUGCUCUCGGGUGACGAGCGGCGGACGGGUGAGUAAUGUCUGGGAAACUGCCUGAUGGAGGGGGAUAACUACUGGAAACGGUAGCUAAUACCGCAUAAUGUCGCAAGACCAAAGUGGGGGACCUUCGGGCCUCAUGCCAUCAGAUGUGCCCAGAUGGGAUUAGCUAGUAGGUGGGGUAACGGCUCACCUAGGCGACGAUCCCUAGCUGGUCUGAGAGGAUGACCAGCCACACUGGAACUGAGACACGGUCCAGACUCCUACGGGAGGCAGCAGUGGGGAAUAUUGCACAAUGGGCGCAAGCCUGAUGCAGCCAUGCCGCGUGUAUGAAGAAGGCCUUCGGGUUGUAAAGUACUUUCAGCGGGGAGGAAGGCGAUAAGGUUAAUAACCUUGUCGAUUGACGUUACCCGCAGAAGAAGCACCGGCUAACUCCGUGCCAGCAGCCGCGGUAAUACGGAGGGUGCAAGCGUUAAUCGGAAUUACUGGGCGUAAAGCGCACGCAGGCGGUCUGUCAAGUCGGAUGUGAAAUCCCCGGGCUCAACCUGGGAACUGCAUUCGAAACUGGCAGGCUAGAGUCUUGUAGAGGGGGGUAGAAUUCCAGGUGUAGCGGUGAAAUGCGUAGAGAUCUGGAGGAAUACCGGUGGCGAAGGCGGCCCCCUGGACAAAGACUGACGCUCAGGUGCGAAAGCGUGGGGAGCAAACAGGAUUAGAUACCCUGGUAGUCCACGCCGUAAACGAUGUCGAUUUGGAGGUUGUGCCCUUGAGGCGUGGCUUCCGGAGCUAACGCGUUAAAUCGACCGCCUGGGGAGUACGGCCGCAAGGUUAAAACUCAAAUGAAUUGACGGGGGCCCGCACAAGCGGUGGAGCAUGUGGUUUAAUUCGAUGCAACGCGAAGAACCUUACCUGGUCUUGACAUCCACAGAACUUAGCAGAGAUGCUUUGGUGCCUUCGGGAACUGUGAGACAGGUGCUGCAUGGCUGUCGUCAGCUCGUGUUGUGAAAUGUUGGGUUAAGUCCCGCAACGAGCGCAACCCUUAUCCUUUGUUGCCAGCGGUUCGGCCGGGAACUCAAAGGAGACUGCCAGUGAUAAACUGGAGGAAGGUGGGGAUGACGUCAAGUCAUCAUGGCCCUUACGACCAGGGCUACACACGUGCUACAAUGGCAUAUACAAAGAGAAGCGACCUCGCGAGAGCAAGCGGACCUCAUAAAGUAUGUCGUAGUCCGGAUUGGAGUCUGCAACUCGACUCCAUGAAGUCGGAAUCGCUAGUAAUCGUAGAUCAGAAUGCUACGGUGAAUACGUUCCCGGGCCUUGUACACACCGCCCGUCACACCAUGGGAGUGGGUUGCAAAAGAAGUAGGUAGCUUAACCUUCGGGAGGGCGCUUACCACUUUGUGAUUCAUGACUGGGGUGAAGUCGUAACAAGGUAACCGUAGGGGAACCUGCGGUUGGAUCACCUCCUUACCUUAAAGAA
This 1554-nucleotide ribosomal RNA is filed under the name Klebsiella quasipneumoniae subsp. similipneumoniae. RNAcentral describes it as "bacterial SSU rRNA". It matches the Rfam family "Bacterial small subunit ribosomal RNA". Lineage: Bacteria; Pseudomonadati; Pseudomonadota; Gammaproteobacteria; Enterobacterales; Enterobacteriaceae. RNAcentral also lists the same sequence under 2 other names. The record is from RNAcentral.